UGAACUCACUAUUGUAAGUCGCUCUGGAUAAGAGCGUCUGCUAAAUGACUCAAA
Non-coding RNA from Salmo salar (Atlantic salmon), 54 nucleotides. NCBI's taxonomy places the organism in Eukaryota, Metazoa, Chordata, Actinopteri, Salmoniformes, Salmonidae. The record is from Rfam.